This 274-nucleotide ribosomal RNA is filed under the name uncultured bacterium. Its description in RNAcentral is "partial 16S ribosomal RNA". It matches the Rfam family "Bacterial small subunit ribosomal RNA", at positions 523 to 796 of the family's 1533-position model. The record is from RNAcentral.
AUACGUAUGGUGCGAGCGUUAUUCGGAAUCACUGGGCAUAAAGAGCACGUAGGCGGCUGCAUAAGUAAGUGGUGAAAUCCCUCAGCUCAACUGGGGAACUGCCAUUUAUACUGUGCAUCUAGCAUGCGGGAGGGGCAGAUGGAAUUCCAGGUGGAGCGGUGAAAUGCGUAGAUAUCUGGAGGAACGCCGGAGGCGAAAGCGAUCUGCUGGCCCGAAAUUGACGCUGAGGUGCGAAAGCUAGGGGAGCAAACGGGAUUAGAAACCCUAGUAGUCC